CCUACGGGAGGCAGCAGUGAGGAAUAUUGGUCAAUGGGCGCAAGCCUGAACCAGCCAAGUCGCGUGAGGGAUGACGGUCCUAUGGAGUGUAAACCUCUUUUGUCGGGGAGCAAGGCCCGCCACGUGUGGCGGGAAGGAGAGUACCCGAAGAAAAAGCAUCGGCUAACUCCGUGCCAGCAGCCGCGGUAAUACGGAGGAUGCGAGCGUUAUCCGGAUUGAUUGGGUUGAAAGGGUGCGUAGGCGGAAGGUUAAGUCAGCGGUCAAAUGUCGGUGCUCAACACCGGCCUGCCGUUGAAACUGGUCUUCUUGAGUGAGCGAGAGGUAUGCGGAAUGCGUGGUGUAGCGGUGAAAUGCAUAGAUAUCACGCAGAACUCCGAUUGCGAAGGCAGCAUACCGGCGCUCAACUGACGCUGAGGCACGAAAGCGUGGGGAUCGAACAGGAUUAGAUACCCCUGUAGUC
This 460-nucleotide ribosomal RNA is filed under the name uncultured bacterium. RNAcentral describes it as "partial 16S ribosomal RNA". It matches the Rfam family "Bacterial small subunit ribosomal RNA", at positions 338 to 795 of the family's 1533-position model. The record is from RNAcentral.